CUCUAUUUCUCCAUCCGGUCAGGAUUUUAGGCAUGCAGGUGAGCACGGUGCCGCCUCUUCUUGGCCGUCCCGUCUAAGGAAAUCGGAAACCGUACAUGCUGAUGGUGGAUCUCAAACCCUGGUCCUUUGUCCUGUUUUUAUCUAGCUUUCAGGCUCCAGAACCCUUUGUGAUUUACCUACUCCCCUUCCCCUCAGUUCUUCAGUGCCGCUAGCCUUUCCAUUAUCUACUGUAUUUUUCAUCUACGUUUAUUUGGCUCUGUUCAGAAUUUGAGAUCGAAAUUAAAAACAAAGUGAAGAAA
Molecule: long non-coding RNA, 299 nt
Organism: Tupaia belangeri chinensis (Chinese tree shrew)
Lineage: Eukaryota; Metazoa; Chordata; Mammalia; Scandentia; Tupaiidae
Exons: 2
Source: RefSeq, a predicted model, not a curated record